This 484-nucleotide ribosomal RNA is filed under the name uncultured bacterium. RNAcentral's name for it is "partial 16S ribosomal RNA". It matches the Rfam family "Bacterial small subunit ribosomal RNA", at positions 28 to 507 of the family's 1533-position model. The record is from RNAcentral.
AUUGAACGCUGGCGGCAUGCUUUACACAUGCAAGUCGAACGGCAGCGCGGUCUUCGGCCGGGCGGCGAGUGGCGAACGGGUGAGUAAUGCAUCGGAACGUGCCCAGCUGUGGUGGCUAGCCCGGCGAAAGCCGGAUUAAUACCGCAUAAGACCUGAGGGUGCAAGCGGGGGACCGAAAGGCCUCGCGCUCUUGGAGCGGUCGAUGUCGGACUAGCUAGUUGGUUGGGUAAAGGCUUACCAAGGCGACGGUCCGUAGCUGGUCUGAGAGGACGACCAGCCACACUGGGACUGAGACACGGCCCAGACUCCUGCGGGAGGCAGCAGUGGGGAAUGUUGGACAAUGGGGGCAACCCUGAUCCAGCCAUGCCGCGUGCGGGAAGAAGGCCUUCGGGUUGUAAAGCGCUUUUGUUGGGGAAGAAAUGCUCUGGGCUAAUACCCCGGGGGGAUGACGGUACCGGAAGAAUAAGCACCGGCUAACUACGUG